This 2580-nucleotide long non-coding RNA is filed under the name Triticum aestivum (bread wheat). Its description in RNAcentral is "long non-coding RNA (TAES_LNC008556)". Lineage: Eukaryota; Viridiplantae; Streptophyta; Magnoliopsida; Poales; Poaceae. The record is from RNAcentral.
GUGCCUCGGUUCAUUGGACAGCUUUAGAAGGCAAAGGUGUUGUCUGGAUCUGUGGACUUCUGAUUUUUCGGUCGCAUUUGGGGCGAGAGAAAAUAAUUUAUGGACAGCUUUGCAUUCAGUCUAUGUUGUGUGUUCAUUACCAUUUGUUCUUUCUUCAUCCUCUCGAGAUUUUGUGUUGUUGCUUAGGGUUAAUUACCCAAAGGCUUCAUAAACAAGCUAGGACCAUGUCCUAAGUUCGAAUUCAUAUGUGUUGUACUAUUGUUAUAGAAAAGCUAAUGGACCUAUGAAGAUUGAAGAGUCACUGCAUUUUCUGUUUUCUUGCAUGUCUAAGAAGUUAUACAGCUGUGAAUAUAUUGUUUCUUUUCUUUCAUACCACAGCUAUGACUCAUUUCUCGUAAAAAGGAGGGUCUCCGAUUCUUGGUUCUGCCAUAAUAAUUUUAUUCCCAUAUGAUCACUCGCUUGCUAGAUUAUUAAUUUUAGAUAAUGUCUCGCUUGCAUCGUUAUGGUGUUGUCUUGUUGAACUUCAAAGAAUCAAGCACAUUAUAGCACCCAAAAUAAAUAAAUAAAUAAUCAAGCACAUCUACUUUCCCCCGUUGAACUAAUUUGGGCUCACUUAACCCUAAGUCAGCCACACCUAGCCCUUAUCUGAUUUUUGGAAGGGCAGGAUUAACCAAAAGAAUCUGCAAAAUUCCAUACGCUUUGCUGUUAUAAAGUGUAUACCAGUACAAUUUUAGUUUAGAAAUAAGAAAGAUCACAAUUGUGAAAGAAAAAACAUAUUUUUUUUAAUAUUGCACAGGUCACAAAUUUUUAUAUUUUCAAAUCAACAUUAAUAUGCACCAUUUUUUUGAACUAACAUUCAAUAUGCAUCCUUAAUUGCACGUAGCACAAUCGUUUUUUCAGAAUUUUGUAAAAUGUAUAAUUUUGCUUUUCAAUAAGCAGGGGAGGGACACUAAAAAAGCGAAGAAAAGAUCAGAUCGAUGUAAUUUAGAUUUAAAAAGGUUUUAGAAGAAAACAAUGAACUUUAUGUAUUAAUUUGAUUUAUACAAAAAGAGUUUGGAAAGGGGCAACACACCAGUCACACACCACACCUCCAGAAAAGGAGACAUAGAAGAGGAAGAAGAAAAAUAGGAGAAAAAAUAAAAAAUGGCAUCUUCUACCUCAUCCUCUGCCUUUCUCCUCCUCCAUGGCCUCGCUUCUGCUUCUCCCUCGAAGGCUUCUGCUUUCUUCGCUUCCCCCAUCAGCCCCUCCUUCCCACUCUCGACCUCCACCUCCAUCAACGCGUCCUCUCCGCGGCGGCCCUUGCCCCCUGCUCCUCGCGCCACCGGCCGCGGCGGUGACAAGGACAACCGCGUGCAGGAGCUGAGGGUGCCUGAUUCCUGGCUCACGCCCGGAGGAGCAGCGCAGGUUCGCAUCCAUGAUUCCACCUCCGUCAUCUCCAUCCCGUUCAUUUAAUCUUGUAGCGGCACCUCCUGGAGUAGCUCGAAAGUUUUAUGUACGUAGCUCCUGAACUUAAAAUCCCUGUUAUGGUCUUAUGGAGGAGCUCGAAAGUUGUUAUGCAGUGAUCUAAACGCUUUUAUAUUUUCAAUACAAAGGGAGUACUUCACAAAGCUACUCCCUCCGUUUCAAAAUAGAUGACCUAACUUUGUACUAACUUUAGGGAGUAGAUUAUUUCUCCUGCUCCUGUUUCUGGACUGUCAUUAGCUCAAGUUUAUUUACACGCCAUUUGUACAGUCAUUGAACAAGGCCACCUCCAUCUUUCCACCUCUUACCAGGAAUCCGAAUGGCUGAGGGGAACGCUACACAAGUGGCUGGACGACGAGUACUGCCCCGAGCCGGCCAACGUGGACAUCAGCAACACGGCCGCAAGGUCGUACCACGAGUCCCUCACGGCGAAGCAGUCUGAUGUGGGGGAGAUCCUGAUGAAGAUGGUCGGAGAUCUGCAGGAGCUGUCGUACCAGGAGAGCUUCCACGGGGCCUUCUCCGCCGCCAACGCCGCGGUGCGCUUGAUAACGCAGAGGAUGGAGUCGUCAGCCGGUGAGUGAUCGUUGACAGACAGAGCUAGCCGAACCGGCAAUGGGUGGCUCAAGUUGUCUGGCUGCCCCGACCAUCAUUGUGUUUAGUGGUCGAACGGGAAGGCAAUCUGCUUUGUUUCACUGCAGAUUAGCUUUGUGAAUUACCUGGCGUUGGCAAGUGGUCUGUUCAAUUUGAAUCAAAGUGACAUACCGUGUCCUGCUCGACCGAUGUUAAUAGUACGUUCUUCUAUGUCGCAUGUUGUUAAUUCUGAGCAAACGAACCAACUUGUGGUUGGAUGAUGGUUAGAGGGACAAUGGUAUUCCCAGCCUAUCAGAAUUCAAGUUCUGGUGCUCGCAUUAUUCUUGAAUUUGUUUUAGGAUUUUCCGCGCUGUGCUUUCAGUGGAAGGAGACGUUCCUCUCGACGACGAGGCGCUCACGGGGCGCUCACGGUGACUUCAUAAUUCUCAAGAUGAUAUGAUAGUUCAGUCUCUUGAAGGUGCUCACAGAGAUAGGGUAUGUGUUCAUAGGAUGAGUGUAUGCGUUUAUGUCUGUACGUGUUUAAAAAAA